UACGUAGGGCGCAAGCGUUGUCCGGAAUUAUUGGGCGUAAAGGGUGCGUAGGCGGAUCGAUCAGUCAGAUGUGAAAGCCCAAGGCUCAACCUUGGAAUUGCAUUUGAUACUGUCAGUCUGGAGUAUUGGAGAGGAGCGUGGAAUUCUCAGUGUAGAGGUGAAAUUCGUAGAUAUUGAGAGGAACACCAGUGGCGUAGGCGACGCUCUGGCCAAAUACUGACGCUGAGGCACGAAAGUGUGGGGAGCAAACAGG
This 253-nucleotide ribosomal RNA is filed under the name uncultured bacterium. Its description in RNAcentral is "partial 16S ribosomal RNA". It matches the Rfam family "Bacterial small subunit ribosomal RNA", at positions 524 to 776 of the family's 1533-position model. The record is from RNAcentral.